RNAcentral lists this ribosomal RNA (465 nucleotides) under Vreelandella stevensii. RNAcentral's name for it is "partial 16S ribosomal RNA". It matches the Rfam family "Bacterial small subunit ribosomal RNA", at positions 338 to 795 of the family's 1533-position model. The record is from RNAcentral. Lineage: Bacteria; Pseudomonadati; Pseudomonadota; Gammaproteobacteria; Oceanospirillales; Halomonadaceae.
CCUACGGGAGGCUGCAGUGGGGAAUAUUGGACAAUGGGCGAAAGCCUGAUCCAGCCAUGCCGCGUGUGUGAAGAAGGCCUUCGGGUUGUAAAGCACUUUCAGUGGGGAAGAAAGCCUUGGGGCUAAUACCCUCGAGGAAGGACAUCACCCACAGAAGAAGCACCGGCUAACUCCGUGCCAGCAGCCGCGGUAAUACGGAGGGUGCGAGCGUUAAUCGGAAUUACUGGGCGUAAAGCGCGCGUAGGCGGUCUGAUAAGCCGGUUGUGAAAGCCCCGGGCUCAACCUGGGAACGGCAUCCGGAACUGUCAGGCUAGAGUGCAGGAGAGGAAGGUAGAAUUCCCGGUGUAGCGGUGAAGUGCGUAGAGAUCGGGAGGAAUACCAGUGGCGAAGGCGGCCUUCUGGACUGACACUGACGCUGAGGUGCGAAAGCGUGGGUAGCAAACAGGAUUAGAUACCCUGGUAGUC